GUGUCAUCAUGACAAACAACUGACAUAGCUGAGGCCCGUUGAAGUCCCAGAGCAACCUUGGUCCUGUAGUCAGAGAUGACUUGUGAAAAUAAAUGCAUCUGGCUCAUUGACUUGAGUUCUUGUACCCAAACUGGAAAGAUUCAGAGCCAGGGUUGAGUCCUCCUUACAGGGCGAGUUCUCUGACAAGGAAGUUUUGCAACCUAAUUUACAGCUGGAGCCAAGCUUGUCAGUGAGUGCCAGAGGGAAACUGUCGCAAUCGGCUGGCUAAGUAUAUUCAUUUAACAAGGGAAGUCUCCGAGGAGCUAUCAAAAACUGCUUGUCAUCUUUCCAAAUCAUCUCUGUCUGCAGUGGCCAUGUCUUAAUCCUGAAGGACAACAAGGCAAAACACUUUAUACUCUUGACAAACAAAAGUGCUAGAUUGUAGGAUCUAAGGAUGAGUCGGGGGAGCUGUGGAUACCACCGAUACCUGGAAAAUGUGUGUGAAUUAAUGAAAAGACACAGGAAAAGUAAAGAUCUGACAACCAAGGGGAUAAAUGAACAGCUCAGCACCAUCCUGGAGGGGCUCACUCAGCAGAGAGGAGGAACAAUCACUCCUAGGAUACUCUCUCAUCUGGGAUACCUUACAAUGUGUCAGAGCACCCCUGAACCCAAGG
Molecule: long non-coding RNA, 653 nt
Organism: Piliocolobus tephrosceles (Ugandan red Colobus)
Lineage: Eukaryota; Metazoa; Chordata; Mammalia; Primates; Cercopithecidae
Exons: 5
Source: RefSeq, a predicted model, not a curated record